This is a long non-coding RNA of Pseudophryne corroboree (corroboree frog), 728 nucleotides long. RefSeq lists it as uncharacterized. The record is from RefSeq and is a predicted model, not a curated record. Lineage: Eukaryota; Metazoa; Chordata; Amphibia; Anura; Myobatrachidae. The transcript is spliced from 3 exons.
CGAAAAUGGAGGGGUUUGCUGAUAUAGGCCCGCCCCUUUACCGUGAGGCCCCACCCUCUACCAGAAGCUCCACCCCUUUUCGGUCGCGCCUUCAGCGCAGUGUGUCCCUACUUCCACGGGACAGAAGUUGGGAAGAAUGCUUACCACAGUGCUAAGGAAAGAGGAACAGAAGUUCAUCUACCAGUGUGCGAUCCUGGUUAAAACUUAAAAGCUGCUCGUCAUUACAGCAACGAGGAAAGGGUCUCCCUGUCUUAAGUACCCCGGGCCCUCCAAAGCCUUAAUCCAGAUCUACCGACGGUUAUCUGCUGCCACCAUACAGCUAAUGUAGUAGGCUAGGUGCAGCGAAGUGCUGCUGUGUGCGCAAACCUACUCAUGGAGCCACGGUAGUUUCAGGAGACCCGGCGGCUGCCUGCUGCUACAAUACAGCUGGUGCUGUUGUGUGCCCGAAGCCGCGGACUGUGCUGGAGACUGGGGAGCAUUACUGGAGUCCGCGGGAGUGUGCUCAGUGCUGGGGGAGACUUAUCCUCUGUUCACCCCAGCCUACCGUCAUUGUGCAUAAUAGAAUUCUGGCUAGAGGGAUCCGCCUGUGAUAUGCUAGGGAAGGCAACCUGGGGGUGUGUACUGGGCCUGAUGAUGGGCGCAAUCGCGAUGACGUCAUGGCGCCUGCACGCUGCUGGGAAGCCGCACUUCGGGUCUUUCACAUCACUGGUGACCGGUAUCUAUUUAGG